This 253-nucleotide ribosomal RNA is filed under the name uncultured bacterium. RNAcentral describes it as "partial 16S ribosomal RNA". It matches the Rfam family "Bacterial small subunit ribosomal RNA", at positions 524 to 776 of the family's 1533-position model. The record is from RNAcentral.
UACGGAGGGGGCAACCGUUGCUCGGAAUCAUUGGGCGUAAAGCGCACGUAGGCGGUCCGUUAAGUCGGGUGUGAAAUCCCUCGGCUCAACCGAGGAAGUGCAUUCGAAACUGGCGGACUUGAGUAUGGAAGAGGGUCGUGGAAUUCCCGGUGUAGAGGUGAAAUUCGUAGAUAUCGGGAGGAACACCAGUGGCGAAGGCGGCGAUCUGGGUGGAUACUGACGCUGAGGUGCGAAAGCGUGGGGAGCAAACAGG